CAAGAGUUAUAUCCGGGGUGUGAGAAUUUUUUAAAACUGAGUUUCACCAUUCGAAAGAGAUUUUUUAAAUUAGUGGAGGAAGGAAAACAAGAGUUAUAUUCGGGGUGUGAGAAUUUUUUAAAACUGAGUUUCACCAUUCGAUUGUACUUAUUGAAAUGCAUUCAUGGGUUGAGUAAUGUGGAUUUUUCAGACUUGUUAGACUUGUUGAAAGAGGCAUUUUCAUUUUCUCAGCUACCCGAGGCAAAAAAUAUGAUACAAGAUUUGGGUCUUAAUUUUGAAAAGAUACAUGCGUGCCCUAAUGAUUGCAUGGUUUUUUUAGAAUGAAAAUGCGGAGAAUGAUAAUUGCUAUGUGUGUGGAACUUCUAGAUGGAAGAAUGUUGUUGAUGGCUUGACUAAUACAAGCUCCAAAAUCCCUACAAAGGUUCUAAGGUACUUUCCCUUAAAGCCUAGGCUUCAGAGGAUAUUUAUGUGCUCUGAAACAGCUGCAGCUAUGAGAUGGCAUGCUACUGAACGACCCAAUGAUGGGAAUUUAAGACAUCCUACUGAUGGGGAAGCUUGGAAGGAUUUUGAUUUGUUGCACAAGGACUUCUCUCGAGAUCCUCGUAAUGUUAGAUUGGGUCUUUCAGACAUCCUGCAUGACUUUUCUGUUUCAGUUUUAACAAAACUUAAAAUACUGCUGAGAAGAUCUAUAGUUAUGAUUGUGUUUGCUGCUGCUAGUUUGGCAUUUGAGGUCCACCUUUUGGAUGAUUGGCUCUAACUGUUUUGUUUUUAUCAUAUUGACAGAGUUUCAUAGUCACGAGACAAGAAGAAUGCCUGAAACAAAAGAAAAAAAUAAAAAACUCAACAAGCAUUAUAUUAGUGCUGGAACACUUGCCUCCUUGGCAUACCAAAAGAAGUUAGCGCUGACCAGGAAAACAAAUGUUCCAUGUAGAUGUACACGGUCGAGUGAAGAGCACGAGCUUCUGCCAAAUUUAGCUGAAGACCAUCAGAUACUAGCACCACAAAAUUCAGGUGUAGUAGCCCGUAUACAAACAGAAACAACCACCCCUGCAGCAGAAACAUUUGAGGAACAAAUUCAAUUGAAUUCUACAACUGUUGCUGAACAAGAACAACGUGAACUACAAGACUCCUCUCCUCAAAAAAGGAAAAGAGGUAAAACAAAGAUGCUAAGCGUACAUGGAAGGCGUGGGCAAAAAUUGAUCCUAGUAAAUGAGAACAAUCAACCUGUUGGUCCUACUAAAGAUGUUGUGACAGAAUUGGGCAGUUUUCUCGGCAUAUUGGCAAGGAAUGCGACUCUUUUCCCUCUUGAUAUAUUUGAUUGGAGGAAAAUGGACACAAAAGAUGAUCUAUGGGCAUAUACCAAGGAGAAAUAUGAUAUUCCUGACACUGCAAAAAAAUGGACUUUGGAUACAAUUCAAGCUACUUGGAGAAGACACAAUAGUACUUUGAAAUUCAACCCAACUAAAGCUUAUUACUUACAAAUAAUGGCAUGCCUGCACUUAGAUAAAAAAAAUAGGAUAAUGAACUGGACUGUCCGACCUAUGGUACAACUUAACUGAACACCUCUUUGUCUGGUCUUGUUGACUCAUUUCCUUGCAGAAAAUGUCCGAGAUCAAUAUUGAGAAUCGAAAAAAUUGAAGAAUCCACACACGGUUGGCAAAACAAGCUUUGCUGUAAUCCGCAAUAAUUUGGAAAAAGAGAAGAACACUUCCGACCCUUAAUCACUUCGAGAAUUCUUUGUGGCUACAAGAGCAAGAAAACCUGGAAGGUUAUACAAGGACUCUAAUGAAGAUAGAACUAGUAAAAUUGUGCGAAUUCUGUCUAAUUGCUUUUCUGUUGAGAUAAAUUAUUUGUUCUUAUUGACUUUUUAUUUACUAGAAUUUUUUUUUUUAAAAUUGCAUUGUAUGCUGAAAUGGAAAAGAAUGAAACACAACAAAGUGAAGAUGGUAGCAAUUCUGUUAAUGCAUUUGAAGCCGUUAUGGGACCUGAACAUCCAGGACGUCUUAGAUUGUAUGGACGAGGUGUUACAAGAGCUUCUUUGAAAGAAAAAAAUGGGACAUUUUGAAUCCUCUUCAAAUGCUACAAACGAUCUGGUGAAACAGAUGGAAGAGAGGAUGAUAAGAAUGUUUGAGGAACAAAAGGAACAAUUUGAGAAACAGAAGGAACAGUACGAGGAACAAAAGAGAAUGAUGCCGACAAGAAUCUUUGAACAGUUUCAGUGUGCAGGAAUGCCAAUUGAUCCUAAUAUUUUAGCAACCAUGUGUGCUCGUUCACCAGGAGAAGCUUCAUCUGCACAACAAGUAGCAAUUCAACGAAUCAAUAGACCAUCUUUUGGUAGUAGCAAUCAAGGUGAACCAAAUGAUCAAGGGGGAGAUGAAAGCAGUGAAGACCUUACCUAAAAGUAUUUGUUGUACAAUCUUCAGACAAUUUAGGAAUGUUUUUAUUUUUGAACUAUUUUGCAAACUUAUAUAUACCAACUCUUGGAUUAUUAAAUACUAUUUAUCGUAUAUUUUGCUUUAUAAAUGGAUAAUCGUAGUUGUAUAUUUUGGA
Molecule: RNA transcript, 2550 nt
Organism: Nicotiana tabacum (common tobacco)
Lineage: Eukaryota; Viridiplantae; Streptophyta; Magnoliopsida; Solanales; Solanaceae
Source: RefSeq, a predicted model, not a curated record